AUUAUCUGGGGAUCUCAUUAAAAUGCAGAAUCUGAUUAAGCAAGUCUGAGAUUCUACAUUUCUAAUAAGCUCUCAGGUGAUGCUGA
This 86-nucleotide microRNA precursor is filed under the name Callithrix jacchus (white-tufted-ear marmoset). Its description in RNAcentral is "mir-544 microRNA precursor family". It matches the Rfam family "mir-544 microRNA precursor family". Lineage: Eukaryota; Metazoa; Chordata; Mammalia; Primates; Cebidae. The record is from Rfam by way of RNAcentral.